RNAcentral lists this transfer RNA (66 nucleotides) under Gromphadorhina oblongonota. RNAcentral describes it as "tRNA-Leu". The record is from RNAcentral. Lineage: Eukaryota; Metazoa; Arthropoda; Insecta; Blattodea; Blaberidae.
UCUAAUAUGGCAGAUAAGUGCAAUGGACUUAAACCCCAUAUAUAAAGUAAUCCUCUUUUAUUAGAA